AAUGAACGCUGGCGGCAGGCCUAACACAUGCAAGUCGAACGGGAUCUUCGGAUCUAGUGGCGGACGGGUGAGUAACGCGUGGGAACAUACCCCUUUCUUCGGAAUAGCCUCGGGAAACUGGGAGUAAUACCGGAUACGCCCUUCGGGGGAAAGAUUUAUCGGUAAGGGAUUGGCCCGCGUUGGAUGAGGUAGUUGGUGGGGUAAUGGCCUACCAAGCCGACGAUCCAUAGCUGGUUUGAGAGGAUGAUCAGCCACACUGGGACUGGGACACGGCCCAGACUCCUACGGGAGGCAGCAGUGGGGAAUUUUAGACAAUGGGGGAAACCCUGAUCUAGCCAUGCCGCGUGAUCGAUGAAGGCCUUAGGGUUGUAAAGAUCUUUCAGAUGGGAAGAUAAUGACGGUACCAUCAGAAGAAGCCCCGGCUAACUUCGUGCCAGCCGCCGCCGUAA
RNAcentral lists this ribosomal RNA (449 nucleotides) under uncultured bacterium. RNAcentral describes it as "partial 16S ribosomal RNA". It matches the Rfam family "Bacterial small subunit ribosomal RNA", at positions 29 to 523 of the family's 1533-position model. The record is from RNAcentral.